AUGUCAGCUCGCCGGUUCGUGCAGUGUUUAAUCCUAGUCGUGGAUGAUAAGAUUACAAGCCAUACAGUCGCUGAGUUCUCAGGCCAAAGCGCCGAUAACCCCUCCGAUCAGUCAGAGUCGGUUUCGGAAUGGCUAUCCAGUCCCACAACAAGCGAAUAUGUAGCACAACUUCAAGAGACUCCACGCCACAGCGCCGGUGGCCCUCCUGAAGAAGUGGCUCAGUUGGAUUCGUUAUGGCGUCACAGUCUCUCAACAAGGGAAUUUUUUGCACAACUUCAGGCACGUAGAUCCCAGCAGUUUGGCAGCUCCUCCUCCAGCCCAUUCCAAGAUCGAAGGACAAGAGAAAAACGCCGGCGAUUUUUCAUCGUUGUGCCCGGAAUCUUGGUGACAGAACAUCCGACCAUUCGACAACAGCUGCGAAAUUGGAACAUCCGCGUUCUCGACGAAGAAGCCGUAUCGUCCAUCUCUCCCAAGGCGACAGUUUCCAUGAUCGAGAUUUUGCUCAACACAAGCAGCACAUGCCCUCUCAGUAUUCUAUACUCUGCACCCGUUUAUUCGAAACCGGCCAGUGAGCAGGACUCGGAGUUCUUUAAGUACGCGACACGUCGUGCAAACGACAGUAUAAUCCGCGAUCUCUUCCGCGUAAGUCGGGUUCUCAUCGAACCACACGAGCACAGCACUGCCCAAUCUGCAUUCGAUAAUGAAAAUCUGAGUAUUCUCAACAGUUUUUUAAGCAGAAGAACUAGGCACUCUUCUUGGCAAACUCGAGAUUAUCCACAAUACUGGGUCGCACAAGCCUUCGCCAAAAAGUCCGAUAAAGAACUGAUGACCCAGCUUCUGAACAUCGCCGUUAGGUUGGAUCACGUAGCACUCCUGAAUUUGUUGGCGAGGCAUGACGUGUGUAUUGAUUCUCCUAUGGCUCUGCGCCUAGCUGUUUUGGCCGGUGCUUCUUCUGUGGUUGAGUUUCUGGUUGAGAUCGGCGUCGACGUCAACGAACCCAAUUCCGUCAAUAUCACGCCGCUCGGGUUGAUUGUCAACGCCGAGCCGGACGUUCUUUUCAGUGUGAACGUAACGAGGAUGUUGGUAAAGUACGGGGCCAAUCUGUUCGCACAUGUCGCCCCGUCGUGUUCCAGGUCGAUCUUGAAAGACGCUUGCUUGAAGAAGAAACGAGAGUUGUUCUCGUUCUUCCUCGAGAGUUGCUUUGUGAAUCCUACGAUGUUCAAAGACGUCCCGGCGCACAGAGCUUUUUUGCGGUGUAUUGCUGAUGGUGCCUUCGAAAAAUCCCCCGACUUUCGCGAUAUGUUUGCCCAACACCUUGUCAAGAUAGCCGCCCUCUUUUGCAGCUCGGAAUUCGACGAGGAUCUUUCAUCUGUGUGGUCCAAGGAUCCAACCGGUCUCGCUGUAUUCAGGAGCGAGUGCGAAUCAGAACUUCUACAACUGAAAACCGCCAUGGUCCACAAUACUGACGUACCCCUUUUAGAUCUGCUGAGGAGCCCAGAUCGCCGAGUUUCACGUCUUCUCGGUAACAAAUCUGUCACUCGUGGAAUCGAAUCCCUCAAUCUAAUCCAUGAGUUUCCUCACUAUGGUAACAUUCUGAAGGAACGAGUGGAAAAAUGUAAGAGCUUCAACUUGUGCUUGAAGGAAGCUUGUAAAAGCUUAGAUUAUUUCUUGUCCCCGCGUUCGAUAGACUUACCAGUCGAAAUUAAGGAACUCAUUUUUGGUUAUCUCCGUUUCGUCGAUCUUGUAAGGUUGAAGAGAGCCGCACAUGCCAGAAAUGCUCGAUCACCCUCGCACCCAGGUGUGUGA
Molecule: long non-coding RNA, 1806 nt
Filed under: Bemisia tabaci
Lineage: Eukaryota; Metazoa; Arthropoda; Insecta; Hemiptera; Aleyrodidae
Description: lncRNA ENSSSA2NGG003625
Source: RNAcentral